RNAcentral lists this ribosomal RNA (561 nucleotides) under Adelius sp. RK395. RNAcentral's name for it is "eukaryotic LSU rRNA". The record is from RNAcentral. Lineage: Eukaryota; Metazoa; Arthropoda; Insecta; Hymenoptera; Braconidae.
GGAGAUUCAUCGUCAAAUUAUUUGACAUUAAUGUGAAUUAUGAUGUAAUAUGUAGUCCUUGUGGCUAUUAUGUUAUACAUGUUUAUGUUAUUUUGUUAGAUAUGUCGGCGUGCACUUCUCCUCUAGUAGAACGUCGCAACCUGUUAAAUGUUGAUUUAUGGUCUGAUUGGUUGACUUUGAUAACUGCUUGCAGAUUUUCAGAGACCAUUGGAAUCCUAAUCAGCUGUUUGACAGUACUCUAAUAGUAUUAAGCCGCAUUUAUUUGCGUUAAUUUCGUUGCAAGUGUGGUUAAUAUAUAGUAGUGUGGAUUUAAUGCCAUCGCUGUUAUUAACUCACUGUUAGCGUACGAAAAUCUUUAACUGGCAUAAUACUGGUUAGCGAUGCUACUGCUUUGGGUACUUUCAGGACCCGUCUUGAAACACGGACCAAGGAGUCUAGCAUGUACGCAAGUCAUUGGGAAUUUAUAAAACAAACCUAAAGGCAUAAUGAAAGUAAAGAUUGUUAAUUGACAAUUAAAGGAAGAUGAGUUACGUUACGAUGUAAUUCCGCAUUCCUGGGGCA